GAUGUUGUCAGAAAUAGCUGUCUGACUUUGAGGUACUGCAACAGCAGAGGGCACCAAUACUCCUUGGAAGCGCCAAAUAUUUAAAACCAAACCAACGAAGAAGAAGAUAGCGCCACUUCUAACGGUCCAGACCUGGUCCAGACACUCCUGCUCAGCAAGGGAGCUCAGCAGCACCCUGCACUGAACCAACAACCUUCUCUUUCAAUGGUGGUGAUCCAAAUCAGCGUGGAGCAGAAUGCACCAUAGAGAUGUACAACUCUCUUGUUGAGCACCUCAAGACUGAAGACUGCAAGGAAAGAACGCUAAUCUACACCGAGCAUCUGAAGAACAACAAACAAGUCCUCCAGCACAUUGAUCCAAAACCUGUUCCAGUUCCUCAGACACCGUCACAGACUGUUUUGAAAGCCCUCUACUAUCAAUCUGGAUAAAAAGAAACUUUGCCAA
This is a long non-coding RNA of Oreochromis niloticus (Nile tilapia), 444 nucleotides long. RefSeq lists it as uncharacterized. Lineage: Eukaryota; Metazoa; Chordata; Actinopteri; Cichliformes; Cichlidae. The transcript has 3 exons. The record is from RefSeq and is a predicted model, not a curated record.